UGGCCCAGGCUGCUGGGGGGCUGCAGCGCAUGAAACCCUGCAGCAGGAAGGCACGGCACUGCCCUCUGCUCUGCAGGGCUGGGGGAAAAGAUGAUGGGCGAAUGAGGAGAGCGCAGGGAGCAGCUCUGCCUGUGCUCCCCGAAAAAAAAAAUGCGAAAAACAUGGUUAGAUGCCACGAAGUAGGUGGCAGUGCCUUAACCGUAUGCGUGUUGUACAGGCCACUGGGGCCUCUUCCAUCCUUAUCAAGGGGAGUGCUAACCUUCUCUCCUUUCAUACAACACAGCAACACUGCUUACGCUGAGGCUAUUUAAACCCCUGCUGAUAGCUCUACUUCGCGGACACGAAGUCUUUGCCUCCUGCAUCCCAAGGGAAUACAACAAACAAACAAGCAAAUCUGGCUAACCCAGCCUCAGCAUCACCACCACCUGCCCUGGCAGCUGGGCCAGGCUGGGGUUACCAGUGGGUUACCAGUGGGUUACCAGUGGGUUACCAGUGGGUUACCAGCCCGGUUCCUUCCUCCAGCCCCUCCAACGCCGCAUUCCCCGACUGGGGACCAGCCGCAGAGCCCCAUCGUCCUGUUUCCCCCAUCGCAACACAUUGCCCGUCUCCCCACCCACUGCAACGCCACGUGCUGUCCCUCAGCCCCCCUGGCUCCAUCUCGCUGCCCUGCAGGGGCUGCGUCGGAGCCCCCAGCUUUGCUGGAUGAGGCCGCAGAGCCAGGUGCUGUGCCUGGGGCUGUGCACGGCCCCAAACCCACCAGCUGCACGGGGCUGCUGCGUCGCUUCAGCAUCGCUUCAGCAUCGCUUCAUCAGAGCCCGGGCUGCUCCUUGCACGCGAGCAGCCUCCCCUGCCAGACACCGAUGAGUUUAUUAAGGGAUUAAAAGUUAGUCUCCCCUCCUUAUUGAAUGCUCUGAUUUAUGCGGGCGUUUAAAUCAAUCCCAUUUCCUGCAUUUUAUCCCUUCUCCCCUAGGCUUUCAGGCUUUGCUGUGUGAGACAUUUGCUAUAAUCACAUUGUUUUGAGGCAAGCGAGACACCGUGGGUGGUUUAAGUGAUUUGAAUAAAUGAGCUGCAUUGCUCA
This 1078-nucleotide long non-coding RNA is filed under the name Anser brachyrhynchus (Pink-footed goose). RNAcentral's name for it is "lncRNA (ENSABRG00000021674.1)". The record is from RNAcentral. Lineage: Eukaryota; Metazoa; Chordata; Aves; Anseriformes; Anatidae.